GUGACAGCAGCCGCGGUAAGACGAACCGUGCGAACGUUGUUCGGAAUCACUGGGCUUAAAGGGCGCGUAGGCGGGUGGCCAAGUCAGGGGUGAAAUCUUUCGGCUCAACCGGAAAACAGCUUCUGAUACUGGUCGUCUUGAGUGAGGUAGGGGCAUGUGGAACUUCCGGUGGAGCGGUGAAAUGCGUAGAUAUUCACAGGAACUCCGGUGGCGAAGGCGGCUCGCUGGACCUUUUCUGACGCUGAGGCGCGAAAGCUAGGGGAGCAAACGGGAUUAGAAACCCCGGUAGUCC
RNAcentral lists this ribosomal RNA (292 nucleotides) under uncultured bacterium. RNAcentral describes it as "partial 16S ribosomal RNA". It matches the Rfam family "Bacterial small subunit ribosomal RNA", at positions 505 to 796 of the family's 1533-position model. The record is from RNAcentral.